UUAUUGUCUUAUUCCAAUCGCUAAUGCUGCCUUAUUCUGUGGCAGCCUUCCACAGAAUUACUGUAAUGUCAGUCCUUUCUGAACCAGCAAAAAUGUCUUUCUGUCUUCUGUUGGAGGGCAGGUUGCUCGGCAGCAUGUAGCUACUGAUUUACUAAUGAUUUACGAUGUAAUCUUAGAUGAAAGGAGCAAGUUAUACUUGCAUGGAAUGUGGUGUUUCUAGUAGAGUUCUGUACUUAACAACAUAUACUGUACACAAAAUUAGCCUGGGUAACGGUAUUGUUCUCUUAUACGCUUGGUCGCAUAGACCCUGUAUCCCUGGAAGCAUAGAUGCUAUAUAAGAUGGUGUGUUGCUACAAUAAAGUUGAAGCUGCAUGAACUCACAUUGAGUGUCAAGCUUCCCACGCCGGAGCGGGUAACCCUGUGGGGAAUGUGGGGAGUUUCCCAACAUUUGGCGCCCGAACAGGGACCAAUCCAUAGCAUUUAUCGUGGUUAAAGUAGGGACCCUAACUGGGGCAUGUGGUGACGGACCGCAUUUUCCUCCGUUGCAUUGUUGGCAGCGGAGAAGCCUUUUUGGCUUGCCAGGGGUAGCGGAUCCGGGGGCGGUUAAAGUCGUCGGCCAACGCGGUGCUCUCUUUGGCAGUCGCUGGAUUACGACGCGAGGAUGGAGUGGGAGGUGUCAUUCAGCAGAUUGAGGAAUCUUUUCUUAAGGAAGUUAACAACCCUGCUUUGUUUGCGCAGUUCAAGCAAGUUUUGCAUUAUGUAUAUCAUUGAGGUUUCCACUUGGGCUCUGUAUAUCUCACUGGCCAUGCGGAUGCAGUGUACAAAUGGAAAAAACCCUGCAGACCCUGAGAAGAAUAAAAGCAGGAGAGAGUCUGUGGUGGGUGAGAGAGGAGAAGUGCACCUUGAAGCAGGGGACGCCCUGCUGGCACUACCUAUCGCACCCACUGCUGCCGUGUUUCUUCUCUCUCCUUUCUGGUGGUUUGCCACCUUACAAGGGUCAGUAAGUAAUAAUAGAUUAGCUUAG
Molecule: long non-coding RNA, 1024 nt
Filed under: Numida meleagris (helmeted guineafowl)
Lineage: Eukaryota; Metazoa; Chordata; Aves; Galliformes; Numididae
Description: lncRNA (ENSNMEG00000020431.1)
Source: RNAcentral